RNAcentral lists this ribosomal RNA (508 nucleotides) under uncultured bacterium. Its description in RNAcentral is "partial 16S ribosomal RNA". It matches the Rfam family "Bacterial small subunit ribosomal RNA", at positions 28 to 523 of the family's 1533-position model. The record is from RNAcentral.
GAUGAACGCUAGCUACAGGCUUAACACAUGCAAGUCGAGGGGAAACGAUAGAGAAAGCUUGCUUUUUCUAGGCGUCGACCGGCGCACGGGUGAGUAACGCGUAUCCAACCUGCCCAUCACUUGGGGAUAACCUUGCGAAAGUAAGACUAAUACCCAAUGAUAUCUCUAGAAGACAUCUGAAGGAGGUUAAAGAAUUAUCGGUGAUGGAUGGGGAUGCGUCUGAUUAGCUUGUUGGCGGGGCAACGGCCCACCAAGGCGACGAUCAGUAGGGGUUCUGAGAGGAAGGUCCCCCACAUUGGAACUGAGACACGGUCCAAACUCCUACGGGAGGCAGCAGUGAGGAAUAUUGGUCAAUGGACGAGAGUCUGAACCAGCCAAGUAGCGUGCAGGAUGACGGCCCUAUGGGUUGUAAACUGCUUUUAUAAGGGAAUAAAGUGAGUCUCGUGAGACUUUUUGCAUGUACCUUAUGAAUAAGGACCGGCUAAUUCCGUGCCAGCCGCCGCCGUAA